CAGUAGCCACGGUAAUACGAAGGUCCAGAGCGUUGUUCGGAAUCACUGGGCGUAAAGGGAGCGUAGGCGGCGUGGUAAGUCAGAUGUGAAAUCCCGGGGCUCAACCCCGGAACUGCAUCCGAUACUGCCAUGCUAGAGGAUUGGAGAGGUAGCUGGAAUUCUUGGUGUAGCAGUGAAAUGCGUGGAGAUCAAGAGGAACACCCGUGGCGAAAGCGAGCUACUGGACAAUAACUGACGCUGAGGCUCGAAGGCCAGGGUAGCGAAAGGGAUUAGAUACCCCAGUAGUCCCUGUCUCUUAUAC
This 301-nucleotide ribosomal RNA is filed under the name uncultured bacterium. RNAcentral describes it as "partial 16S ribosomal RNA". It matches the Rfam family "Bacterial small subunit ribosomal RNA", at positions 509 to 807 of the family's 1533-position model. The record is from RNAcentral.